AACGCGAAGAACCUUACCUGGGCUUGACAUACACCGGACCGGGCCAGAGAUGGUCUUUCCCUUGUGGCUGGUAUACAGGAGGUGCAUGGUUGUCGUCAGCUCGUGUCGUGAGAUGUUGGGUUAAGUCCCGCAACGAGCGCAACCCCUAUCGUUAGUUGCCAGCAUUCAGUUGGGCACUCUAGCGAGACUGCCGGUGACAAACCGGAGGAAGGUGGGGAUGACGUCAAAUCAUCAUGCCCCUUAUGACCUGGGCUACACACGUGCUACAAUGGAUGGUACAACGAGCCGCAAACCCGCGAGGGUAAGCGAAUCUCUUAAAGCCAUUCUCAGUUCGGAUUGCAGGCUGCAACUCGCCUGCAUGAAGCCGGAAUCGCUAGUAAUCGCGGAUCAGCACGCCGCGGUGAAUACGUUCCCGGGUCUUGUACACACCG
RNAcentral lists this ribosomal RNA (431 nucleotides) under uncultured bacterium. Its description in RNAcentral is "bacterial SSU rRNA". It matches the Rfam family "Bacterial small subunit ribosomal RNA", at positions 958 to 1392 of the family's 1533-position model. The record is from RNAcentral.